GACGAACGCUGGCGGCGUGCUUAACACAUGCAAGUCGAGCGGUAAGGCCCUUCGGGGUACACGAGCGGCGAACGGGUGAGUAACACGUGGGUGACCUGCCCUUAGCUCUGGGAUAAGCCUGGGAAACUGGGUCUAAUACCGGAUAUGACCUCAUGACGCAUGUUGUGGGGUGGAAAGCCUUGUGCGGCUAGGGAUGGGCCCGCGGCCUAUCAGCUUGUUGGUGGGGUGAUGGCCACCAAGGCGACGACGGGUAGCCGGCCUGAGAGGGCGACCGGCCACACUGGGACUGAGACACGGCCCAGACUCCUACGGGAGGCAGCAGUGGGGGAAUCUUGCGCAAUGGGCGAAAGCCUGACGCAGCGACGCCGCGUGAGGGAUGACGGCCUCGG
This 389-nucleotide ribosomal RNA is filed under the name uncultured bacterium. RNAcentral describes it as "bacterial SSU rRNA". It matches the Rfam family "Bacterial small subunit ribosomal RNA", at positions 28 to 420 of the family's 1533-position model. The record is from RNAcentral.